GCCUAACACAUGCAAGUCGAGCGGCAGCGGGAAGAUAGUUUAGCUAUCUUUGCCGGCGAGCGGCGGACGGGUGAGUAAUGCCUAGGGAUCUGCCCAGUCGAGGGGGAUAACAGUUGGAAACGACUGCUAAUACCGCAUACGCCCUACGGGGGAAAGGAGGGGACCUUCGGGCCUUCCGCGAUUGGAUGAACCUAGGUGGGAUUAGCUAGUUGGUGAGGUAAUGGCUCACCAAGGCGACGAUCCCUAGCUGUUCUGAGAGGAUGAUCAGCCACACUGGGACUGAGACACGGCCCAGACUCCUACGGGAGGCAGCAGUGGGGAAUAUUGCACAAUGGGGGAAACCCUGAUGCAGCCAUGCCGCGUGUGUGAAGAAGGCCUUCGGGUUGUAAAGCACUUUCAGUAGGGAGGAAAGGUAGCACCUUAAUACGCUGUUGCUGGGACGUUACCUACAGAAAAAAGACCGGCU
RNAcentral lists this ribosomal RNA (466 nucleotides) under Shewanella baltica. RNAcentral describes it as "bacterial SSU rRNA". It matches the Rfam family "Bacterial small subunit ribosomal RNA", at positions 46 to 498 of the family's 1533-position model. Lineage: Bacteria; Pseudomonadati; Pseudomonadota; Gammaproteobacteria; Alteromonadales; Shewanellaceae. The record is from RNAcentral.